CAUUCUCAGAACCGUGGCGAUAGGAAAUGGGAGAAGGGUGCCGCUGCCCAGAGCGGCUCUAAUUUGUACCAUUUCUGUUGGUGCGCCAUCGAGAACGCUUGCUUGCUUGUCUGUCACAUGUAUUUAAUAAUAAUAAUAAUAAUAAUAAUAAUAAUAAUAAUAAUAUCUUAUUUAUAGCCCACGCAUCGGGCUGAGUUUCCCCAGCCACUCUGGGCGGCUCCCAAUCAAGUGUUAAAAACAAUACAGCAUUAAGGAUUUAAAAAUUCCUUAAACAGGGCUGCCUUCAGAUGUCUUUUAAAGAUAGGAUAGCUGCUUAUUUCCUUCACAUCUGAUGGGAGGGCGUUCCACAGGGUGGGCGCCACCACCGAGAAGGCCCUCUGUCUGGUUCCCUGUAACCUCACUUCUCGCAGGAAGGAAACCGCCAGAAGGCCCUUGGAGCUGGACCUCAGUGUCCGGGCAGAAUGAUGGGGGUGGAGACGCUCCUUCAGGUCUACUGUUCUGAGGCCGUUUAGGGCUUUCAAGGUCAGCACCAACACUUUGAAAUGUGCUCGGAAACGUCCUGGGAGCCAAUGCAGAUCUUUGAGGACCGGUGUUGUACAGUCUUGGUGGCCGCUCCCAGUCCCCAGUCUAGCUGCCGCAUUCUGGAUUAAUUGCAGUUUCCGGGUCACCUUCAAAGGUAGCCCCACAUAGAGCACAUUGCAGUAGUCCAAGUGGGAGAUAACCAGAGCAUGCACCACUCUGGCGAGACAGUCCACGGGCAGGUGGGGUCUCAUCCUGCAUACCAGAUGGAGCUGAUAAACAGCUGCCCUGGACACAGAAUUGACCUGCGCCUCCAUGGACAGCUGUGAGUCCAAAAUGACCUCCAGGUUGCGCACCUGGUCCUUCAGGGACACAGUUACUCCAUUCCGGACCAGGGAGUCCCCCACACCUGCCCGCCCCCUGUCCCCCCAAAACAGUACUUCUGUCUUGUCAGGAUUCAACCUCAAUCUGUUAGCCACCAUCCGUCCUCCAACCGCCUCCAGGCACUCACAGGCUCGCGGAGCACUUCAGAUGUUGUUAGGCCCCCAAGUCCCAGCAUGACACGCUGUUAAGAAUGAUGGGAACCUUUUUACCAUAUGUGGUGGGAAUGUAGAGAAGUUUUUAAAAAUUCGAAAAUGAUAUACAGUGGUGCCUUGCAAGACGAAAAGAAUCCGUUCCGCGAGUCUCUUCGUCUUGCGGGUUUUUUCGUCUUGCGAAGCAAGCCCAUUAGCGGUUUAGCGGAUUAGCGCUACAGUAUUAGUGGCUUAGCGGGCUUAGCGGAUCAGCUGAUAAGCGGCUUAGCGAUCAGCUGUUAAGCGGCUUAAAGAUCAGCUGAUAAGCAGCUUAAAGAUCAGCUGAUCAGCGGCUUAACGAUCAGCUGUUAAGCGGCUUAGCCGAUCAGCUGAUAAGCGGUUUAGCGGCUUGGGAAAAAGGGGGGGGGAGGAAAAAAACCCCGCAGGAACUCGCAAGACAUUUUCGUCUUGCGAAGCAAGCACAUAGGAAAUUCGUUUUGCGAAGCACCUCCAAAACGGAAAACCCUUUCGUCUAGCGGGUUUUCCGUCUUGCGAGGCAUUCGUCUUGCGGGGCACCACUGUAUAAUGAAUUGAAAAAAAUGUUUAAAUUGACAUACCGUUUUUUUUUGCUCUAGAAGACUCACUUUUUCCCUCCUAAAAAGUAAGGGGAAAUGUGUGUGCGUCUUAUGGAGCAAAUGCAGGCUGCACAGCUAUCCCAGAAGCCAGAACAGCAAGAGGGAUUGCUGCUUUCACUGCGCAGCGAUCCCUCUUGCUGUUCUGGCUUCUGAGAUUCAGAAUAUUUUUUUCUUGUUUUCCUCCUCCAAAAACUAGGUGCGUCUUGUGGUCUGGUGCAUCUUAUAGAGCGAAAGAUACGGUAUGUAAAAAAAAAACCAGAAGCAUUUUUGCUAGGGAUUGUAGGACAAGACCUGCCAAGAAAAAUAAAGAGCUUAUUUAUGUAUGCUACAACAGCGGCAAGAGUCUUGUUAGCACAAGGAUGGAAGAAUGAGGAAACUCCAACGAAAGAACAGUGGCAAGAAAAAUUGAUGAGUUAUGCAGAACUGGCCAAAUUGAUAUACAAACUGCGUGAAAAGCACAGCUGUGACUUCAAGGAAGAAUGGGAACUUUUUGGAAACGAUCUCAAAAGACAACAAAAUGAACUGGGCUCUUUGGCAGGUUUUGAAUAAACAUUCACAAAUUGAUUAGUUGAACAUAUGAUAGAUAUGGUUAAUAAAAAUACUUUUUAAAAAAAAAAAGAAUUAUGGGAGCCGCCACAAAAGAUUCCUGCAUUUUCAGGGCGUUGGGCUAGAGGAUCUUUGCUGUCCAGUCGGCUGUCUAGAGGGGAACAAAAUUAAAGAAUACAAAACUGUGAAAAAACCGGCAGUAUAAACAGUACAAUGAGAAUGAUUGGAAGACUCGUUUUGUCAGAAGUCUUUUUUAUUUAAGUGUUUAUUUAAGUAUUAAUUAGGAAGAUUAAGGUUUUUUUAUGCACGUAAAUCUGCUUUUUCUUCUUUCUUUUUUCUGUAUUUUCUUCUUUAUUUCUUAAUUUUUUUCUUUAUUUUCUUUUUGUAGUAUGAAAUUGUAAAUUCUUU
RNAcentral lists this long non-coding RNA (2620 nucleotides) under Podarcis lilfordi (Lilford's wall lizard). The record is from RNAcentral. Lineage: Eukaryota; Metazoa; Chordata; Lepidosauria; Squamata; Lacertidae.